UUAGUAAAGUCUUUCUCUCUCUUAUUUCACUUUGCUGUAUCUGAUUUCAUUUGACUCAUUUUGUCAUUCACUUUUGCACCAUUUCAUUUUCGAAGAGGAAGUGUUGUGCCAAGGUUGGCACGAUGGAGAACGCAAGAAGACUGAAGAAGUGUUCGUGUUGUGCUAGGGUUGGGGCUGAUAGAGAACGCGAGAACACCGAAGAGCAAUUGUUCGUGUUGUGCUAAGAAAAUGAAGUUUUGCUUGUUAUCAUUGUUGACCAAGAGGCGACCAUUGUCGAGCUUGAGAAAAUGGUUGAGAAGCUACAAAUGUUUGUUGCACAGAAGAGGCAAGGGGCUGCUCAUGUUGGGAACUCACAUUCAAAUAAAGAUUAUGACAUGGUAGUUGAUGAUUUUGGGACCAGUAAUUCACAUGAAGAUUAUGAGCUAGUAGUUUCAUCUGUUCUGGUUUCAAAUUCUAAGAAAGAAAUAGAGAUGGAAGGUGAUGAUUUUCAGAAGUCCAAUUCUGAGAAGAAUUUUGAAAGUAUAUUGUAAAUUGUAAAUUUGAAUGAUGUUAACUGUUGUAUUUUUUUAUGAAGGAAGGUUGAAUAUAUGAUCCAUUUGUAAUUGUUAUUCAGUUGUUCAUUUUCCAGGUUCAAUGAAUUUGAUCUGGGAAUACAUUAUUCUUUA
Vigna angularis (adzuki bean) is the source of this 665-nucleotide long non-coding RNA. RefSeq lists it as uncharacterized. The record is from RefSeq and is a predicted model, not a curated record. NCBI's taxonomy places the organism in Eukaryota, Viridiplantae, Streptophyta, Magnoliopsida, Fabales, Fabaceae. The transcript is spliced from 2 exons.